Octopus sinensis (East Asian common octopus) is the source of this 476-nucleotide long non-coding RNA. RefSeq lists it as uncharacterized. NCBI's taxonomy places the organism in Eukaryota, Metazoa, Mollusca, Cephalopoda, Octopoda, Octopodidae. The record is from RefSeq and is a predicted model, not a curated record. The transcript is spliced from 3 exons.
UUUGUUUCCAUAGAUAAAAGGGCCAAUAAUAAUUGUUAAAAAAAACAACAAAGGGGUGAUUUCUCAUAAGGCCACAAAUCUUAAAAGGAAUGUGUGUCUGUUGGGGGGGGGGGGACUUGACUGGUUCAUAUUUUAUCAGCUUUGAAAUAAUGAAAAACUGAGUUGUCCUUAGCCUGAUUUGAACUCAGAACCUAAAGGGACACAACUGAAUACCAAAGACAACUUAGUCUGGCAUCCCAAUUGUUGCUGCCACAACACAACUUAAUGAUUUAUCGAUGAUUUAAAAAAUUGUUUAAAACGACCAGCUUGAAAAUAUAAAAUAUAUUUUAUAUUUGUUUUACACCAACUUCAAAGCAGAAAGUUUAGCACCAAGAAUUCUCAUACUAUCUCCUUGGUCCUUAAAUAUUCCCAUUUCCAAAAGCACUGCUGCUAUUUAAUACAUGUGGCUUUUAUAUAUAUAUAAAUACAUGUAUAUA